Pelobates cultripes (western spadefoot toad) is the source of this 223-nucleotide non-coding RNA. The record is from the annotation of a GenBank genome assembly. Lineage: Eukaryota; Metazoa; Chordata; Amphibia; Anura; Pelobatidae.
CAGAUGAUCAGGACAGAAGGAGUUCAAGUACCAGAAGGCCAAAUAGGAGAUGUAGAGAACAGCUACAAGUACCUGUGGAUACAACUAACACAUGGCAACCACGAGAAAGAGGCAAGGAGGAUAGCAACAUCCAAGUACCUCCAGAGAGUCAGACAGGUCCUGAAGUCCCAGCUCAAUGGCAAGAACAAGAUAUAAGCCACCAACGCAAAUGCCCUACUUUAUC